RNAcentral lists this ribosomal RNA (497 nucleotides) under uncultured bacterium. Its description in RNAcentral is "partial 16S ribosomal RNA". It matches the Rfam family "Bacterial small subunit ribosomal RNA", at positions 28 to 507 of the family's 1533-position model. The record is from RNAcentral.
GAUGAACGCUGGCGGCGUGCCUAAUACAUGCAAGUCGAGCGAACGGACGAGAGGCUUGCUUCUCUGAUGUUAGCGGCGGACGGGUGAGUAACACGUGGAUAACCUACCUAUAAGACUGGGAUAACUUCGGGAAACCGGAGCUAAUACCGGAUGAUAUUUUGAACCGCAUGGUUCAAAAGUGAAAGACGGUCUUGCUGUCACUUAUAGAUGGAUCCGCGCUGCAUUAGCUAGUUGGUAAGGUAACGGCUUACCAAGGCAACGAUGCAUAGCCGACCUGAGAGGGUGAUCGGCCACACUGGAACUGAGACACGGCCCAGACUCCUACGGGAGGCAGCAGUAGGGAAUCUUCCGCAAUGGGCGAAAGCCUGACGGAGCAACGCCGCGUGAGUGAUGAAGGUCUUCGGAUCGUAAAACUCUGUUAUUAGGGAAGAACAUAUGUGUAAGUAACUGUGCACAUCUUGACGGUACCUAAUCAGAAAGCCACGGCUAACUACGUG